RNAcentral lists this ribosomal RNA (2896 nucleotides) under Escherichia coli. RNAcentral's name for it is "bacterial LSU rRNA". It matches the Rfam family "Bacterial large subunit ribosomal RNA". Lineage: Bacteria; Pseudomonadati; Pseudomonadota; Gammaproteobacteria; Enterobacterales; Enterobacteriaceae. The record is from RNAcentral.
UUAAGCGACUAAGCGUACACGGUGGAUGCCCUGGCAGUCAGAGGCGAUGAAGGACGUGCUAAUCUGCGAUAAGCGUCGGUAAGGUGAUAUGAACCGUUAUAACCGGCGAUUUCCGAAUGGGGAAACCCAGUGUGUUUCGACACACUAUCAUUAACUGAAUCCAUAGGUUAAUGAGGCGAACCGGGGGAACUGAAACAUCUAAGUACCCCGAGGAAAAGAAAUCAACCGAGAUUCCCCAGUAGCGGCGAGCGAACGGGGAGGAGCCCAGAGCCUGAAUCAGUGUGUGUGUUAGUGGAAGCGUCUGGAAAGGCGCGCGAUACAGGGUGACAGCCCGUACACAAAAAUGCACAUGCUGUGAGCUCGAUGAGUAGGGCGGGACACGUGGUAUCCUGUCUGAAUAUGGGGGGACCAUCCUCCAAGGCUAAAUACUCCUGACUGACCGAUAGUGAACCAGUACCGUGAGGGAAAGGCGAAAAGAACCCCGGUGAGGGGAGUGAAAAGAACCUGAAACCGUGUACGUACAAGCAGUGGGAGCCUCUUUAUGGGGUGACUGCGUACCUUUUGUAUAAUGGGUCAGCGACUUAUAUUCUGUAGCAAGGUUAACCGAAUAGGGGAGCCGAAGGGAAACCGAGUCUUACUGGGCGUUAAGUUGCAGGGUAUAGACCCGAAACCCGUGAUCUAGCCAUGGGCAGGUUGAAGGUUGGGUAACACUAACUGGAGGACCGAACCGACUAAUGUUGAAAAAUUAGCGGAUGACUUGUGGCUGGGGGUGAAAGGCCAAUCAAACCGGGAGAUAGCUGGUUCUCCCCGAAAGCUAUUUAGGUAGCGCCUCGUGAAUUCAUCUCCGGGGGUAGAGCACUGUUUCGGCAAGGGGGUCAUCCCGACUUACCAACCCGAUGCAAACUGCGAAUACCGGAGAAUGUUAUCACGGGAGACACACGGCGGGUGCUAACGUCCGUCGUGAAGAGGGAAAACAACCCAGACCGCCAGCUAAGGUCCCAAAGUCAUGGUUAAGUGGGAAACGAUGUGGGAAGGCCCAGACAGCCAGGAUGUUGGCUUAGAAGCAGCCAUCAUUUAAAGAAAGCGUAAUAGCUCACUGGUCGAGUCGGCCUGCGCGGAAGAUGUAACGGGGCUAAACCAUGCACCGAAGCUGCGGCAGCGACACUAUGUGUUGUUGGGUAGGGGAGCGUUCUGUAAGCCUGCGAAGGUGUGCUGUGAGGCAUGCUGGAGGUAUCAGAAGUGCGAAUGCUGACAUAAGUAACGAUAAAGCGGGUGAAAAGCCGCUCGCCCGGAAGACCAAGGGUUCCUGUCCAACGUUAAUCGGGGCAGGGUGAGUCGACCCUAAGGCGAGGCGAAAGGCGUAGUCGAUGGGAAACAGGUUAAUAUUCCUGUACUUGGUGUUACUGCGAAGGGGGGACGGAGAAGGCUAUGUUGGCCGGGCGACGGUUGUCCCGGUUUAAGCGUGUAGGCUGGUUUUCCAGGCAAAUCCGGAAAAUCAAGGCUGAGGCGUGAUGACGAGGCACUACGGUGCUGAAGCAACAAAUGCCCUGCUUCCAGGAAAAGCCUCUAAGCAUCAGGUAACAUCAAAUCGUACCCCAAACCGACACAGGUGGUCAGGUAGAGAAUACCAAGGCGCUUGAGAGAACUCGGGUGAAGGAACUAGGCAAAAUGGUGCCGUAACUUCGGGAGAAGGCACGCUGAUAUGUAGGUGAAGCGACUUGCUCGUGGAGCUGAAAUCAGUCGAAGAUACCAGCUGGCUGCAACUGUUUAUUAAAAACACAGCACUGUGCAAACACGAAAGUGGACGUAUACGGUGUGACGCCUGCCCGGUGCCGGAAGGUUAAUUGAUGGGGUUAGCGGUAACGCGAAGCUCUUGAUCGAAGCCCCGGUAAACGGCGGCCGUAACUAUAACGGUCCUAAGGUAGCGAAAUUCCUUGUCGGGUAAGUUCCGACCUGCACGAAUGGCGUAAUGAUGGCCAGGCUGUCUCCACCCGAGACUCAGUGAAAUUGAACUCGCUGUGAAGAUGCAGUGUACCCGCGGCAAGACGGAAAGACCCCGUGAACCUUUACUAUAGCUUGACACUGAACAUUGAGCCUUGAUGUGUAGGAUAGGUGGGAGGCUUUGAAGUGUGGACGCCAGUCUGCAUGGAGCCGGCCUUGAAAUACCACCCUUUAAUGUUUGAUGUUCUAACGUUGGCCCGUAAUCCGGGUUGCGGACAGUGUCUGGUGGGUAGUUUGACUGGGGCGGUCUCCUCCUAAAGAGUAACGGAGGAGCACGAAGGUUGGCUAAUCCUGGUCGGACAUCAGGAGGUUAGUGCAAUGGCAUAAGCCAGCUUGACUGCGAGCGUGACGGCGCGAGCAGGUGCGAAAGCAGGUCAUAGUGAUCCGGUGGUUCUGAAUGGAAGGGCCAUCGCUCAACGGAUAAAAGGUACUCCGGGGAUAACAGGCUGAUACCGCCCAAGAGUUCAUAUCGACGGCGGUGUUUGGCACCUCGAUGUCGGCUCAUCACAUCCUGGGGCUGAAGUAGGUCCCAAGGGUAUGGCUGUUCGCCAUUUAAAGUGGUACGCGAGCUGGGUUUAGAACGUCGUGAGACAGUUCGGUCCCUAUCUGCCGUGGGCGCUGGAGAACUGAGGGGGGCUGCUCCUAGUACGAGAGGACCGGAGUGGACGCAUCACUGGUGUUCGGGUUGUCAUGCCAAUGGCACUGCCCGGUAGCUAAAUGCGGAAGAGAUAAGUGCUGAAAGCAUCUAAGCACGAAACUUGCCCCGAGAUGAGUUCUCCCUGAGACUUAGAGUCUCCUGAAGGAACGUUGAAGACGACGACGUUGAUAGGCCGGGUGUGUAAGCGCAGCGAUGCGUUGAGCUAACCGGUACUAAUGAACCGUGAGGCUUAACCUU